RNAcentral lists this ribosomal RNA (515 nucleotides) under uncultured bacterium. RNAcentral's name for it is "partial 16S ribosomal RNA". It matches the Rfam family "Bacterial small subunit ribosomal RNA", at positions 28 to 523 of the family's 1533-position model. The record is from RNAcentral.
GAUGAACGCUGGCGGCGUGCCUAAUACAUGCAAGUCGAGCGAAUGGAUUAAGAGCUUGCUCUUAUGAAGUUAGCGGCGGACGGGUGAGUAACACGUGGGUAACCUGCCCAUAAGACUGGGAUAACUCCGGGAAACCGGGGCUAAUACCGGAUAACAUUUUGAACCGCAUGGUUCGAAAUUGAAAGGCGGCUUCGGCUGUCACUUAUGGAUGGACCCGCGUCGCAUUAGCUAGUUGGUGAGGUAACGGCUCACCAAGGCAACGAUGCGUAGCCGGCCUGAGCGGGUGAGCGGCCACACUGGGACUGAGACACGGCCCAGACUCCUACGGGAGGCAGCAGUAGGGAAUCUUCCGCAAUGGACGAAAGUCUGACGGAGCAACGCCGCGUGAGUGAUGAAGGCUUUCGGGUCGUAAAACUCUGUUGUUAGGGAAGAACAAGUGCUAGUUGAAUAAGCUGGCACCUUGACGGUACCUAGCCAGAAAGCCACGGCUAACUACGUGCCAGCCGCCGCAGUAA